RNAcentral lists this ribosomal RNA (477 nucleotides) under uncultured bacterium. RNAcentral's name for it is "partial 16S ribosomal RNA". It matches the Rfam family "Bacterial small subunit ribosomal RNA", at positions 28 to 507 of the family's 1533-position model. The record is from RNAcentral.
GAUGAACGCUCGCGGCGGGCCUAAUACAUGCAAGUCGAACGGGAAAGGUGGCAACACCUUGAGAGUGGCGUACGGGUGCGUAACGCGUAUACAACCUGCCUGUUACACGGGGAUAGCCUUGCGAAAGCGAGAUUAAUACCCGAUGGUACUAUUGAGCGGCAUCGCUUGGUAGUUAAAGCUGAGGCGGUAACAGAGGGGUAUGCGUCCCAUUAGCUAGUUGGUAGUGUAACGGACUACCAAGGCGACGAUGGGUAGGGGUUCUGAGAGGAUGAUCCCCCACACUGGUACUGAGAUACGGACCAGACUCCUACGGGAGGCAGCAGUAGGGAAUAUUGGGCAAUGGACGGAAGUCUGACCCAGCCACGCCGCGUGCAGGAAGAAGGUCCUCUGGAUUGUAAACUGCUUUUCUUGGGGAAGAAAACCCUUCUGCGGAAGGAAUUGACGGUACUCAAGGAAUAAGCAUCGGCUAACUCCGUG